CUCCAUCAGGCGCCGAGCUCAAGGCACAUGCGCACUCGGCUAGCCGGGCGUUUCGCACCGGGCUCCCUCGAACCCUUCCGGUCCGCUACCUGGGUGCCUUGGGCGAAAAUGCACAAGUGGGAGUGAAACCGCAUCUUCACAAUGAAAAAGAAAUCACAGCCACUUAGACAUAGAAAAAACUGACAAACCARUGUCUAAACGUAUGUGAAAGCGAAGUGAGUCGUAUCAGGCUGGCACUUCUUCGCCAGUUCACAAGGCUAAUCCGGUAGCCCACCUUUGUACCUCACCAGCAAUAUGUAGGCGUUUUUUCUUGGAGUCACCUGGUCCUCAGACUCUGGCUGCAGCUACCAGUGCAUCAAACCAGAAUCCAGACUGUGGCGCCCGCAUGGAUACAUGGGGAUGCACUUCCAUUUUCUUCUGCUAAGCACUGAUGUCUACCAAAAAUACUGAUACUGAUAYUUCUCAUGAUUAUCGAUGUCAAGAGAAUACAAGCAGUGCGUCUUCAGUUUCCAC
Molecule: long non-coding RNA, 513 nt
Filed under: Urocitellus parryii (Arctic ground squirrel)
Lineage: Eukaryota; Metazoa; Chordata; Mammalia; Rodentia; Sciuridae
Description: lncRNA (ENSUPAG00010011484.1)
Source: RNAcentral